CCGAGCAACGCCGCGUGAGUGAAGAAGGUUUUCGGAUCGUAAAACUCUGUUGUUAGAGAAGAACGAAGAGAAGAGUGGAAAGCUCCUCGUGUGACGGUAUCUAACCAGAAAGGGACGGCUAACUACGUGCCAGCAGCCGCGGUAAUACGUAGGUCCCGAGCGUUGUCCGGAUUUAUUGGGCGUAAAGCGAGCGCAGGUGGUUUAUUAAGUCUGGUGUAAAAGGCAGUGGCUCAACCAUUGUAUGCAUUGGAAACUGGUAGACUUGAGUGCGGGAAAGGAGAGUGGAAUUCCAUGAGUAGCGGUGAAAUGCGU
RNAcentral lists this ribosomal RNA (312 nucleotides) under Lactococcus lactis. Its description in RNAcentral is "bacterial SSU rRNA". It matches the Rfam family "Bacterial small subunit ribosomal RNA", at positions 387 to 691 of the family's 1533-position model. The record is from RNAcentral. Lineage: Bacteria; Bacillati; Bacillota; Bacilli; Lactobacillales; Streptococcaceae.